This 496-nucleotide ribosomal RNA is filed under the name uncultured bacterium. RNAcentral describes it as "partial 16S ribosomal RNA". It matches the Rfam family "Bacterial small subunit ribosomal RNA", at positions 29 to 507 of the family's 1533-position model. The record is from RNAcentral.
AUGAACGCUGGCGGCGUGCCUCAUCCCUGCCAGUCGAGCGAACGGACGAGAAGCUUGCUUCUCUGAUGUUGGCGGCGGACGGGUGAGUAACACGUGGAUAACCUACCUAUAAGACUGGGAUAACUUCGGGAAACCGGAGCUAAUACCGGAUAAUAUUUUGAACCGCAUGGUUCAAAAGUGAAAGACGGUCUUGCUGUCACUUAUAGAUGGAUCCGCGCUGCAUUAGCUAGUUGGUAAGGUAACGGCUUACCAAGGCAACGAUGCAUAGCCGACCUGAGAGGGUGAUCGGCCACACUGGAACUGAGACACGGUCCAGACUCCUACGGGAGGCAGCAGUAGGGAAUCUUCCGCAAUGGGCGAAAGCCUGACGGAGCAACGCCGCGUGAGUGAUGAAGGUCUUCGGAUCGUAAAACUCUGUUAUUAGGGAAGAACAUAUGUGUAAGUAACUGUGCACAUCUUGACGGUACCUAAUCAGAAAGCCACGGCUAACUACGUG